RNAcentral lists this ribosomal RNA (269 nucleotides) under uncultured archaeon. Its description in RNAcentral is "partial 16S ribosomal RNA". It matches the Rfam family "Archaeal small subunit ribosomal RNA", at positions 477 to 747 of the family's 1478-position model. The record is from RNAcentral.
CUGCAGCUCAAGUGGUGACCGCUAUUAUUGGGCCUAAAACGUUCGUAGCCGGCUGAGUAAAUGCUUGGGUAAAUCGUGCCGCUUAACGGUACGAAUUCCGGGUAGACUACUCAGCUUGAGACCGGGAGAAGCUAGAGGUACUCCUGGGGUAGAGGUGAAAUUCUGUAAUCCUGGGGGGACCACCAGUGGCGAAGGCGUCUAGCUAGAACGGGUCUGACGGUGAGGGACGAAGGCUGGGGGAGCGAUCCGGAUUAGAUACCCGAGUGUCC